UACAGGGGGCUCGAGCGUUAGUCGGAAUCACUGGGCUUAAAGGGUGCGUAGGCGGCUCGCCAAGUGCUUUGUGAAAUCCCACAGCUCAACUGUGGAACAGCAGGGCAAACUGGCGAGCUUGAGGCAGGUAGGGGCCGGAAGAACAGUAGGUGGAGCGGUGAAAUGCGUAGAUAUCUACUGGAAUGCCGAUGGGGAAGCCGUCCGGCUGGGCCUGUCCUGACGCUGAGGCACGAAAGCGUGGGGAGCAAACAGG
Molecule: ribosomal RNA, 253 nt
Filed under: uncultured bacterium
Lineage: Bacteria
Description: partial 16S ribosomal RNA
Rfam family: Bacterial small subunit ribosomal RNA
Source: RNAcentral